Molecule: ribosomal RNA, 638 nt
Filed under: uncultured Methanoculleus sp.
Lineage: Archaea; Methanobacteriati; Methanobacteriota; Methanomicrobia; Methanomicrobiales; Methanomicrobiaceae
Description: bacterial SSU rRNA
Rfam family: Archaeal small subunit ribosomal RNA
Source: RNAcentral
GCGCGAAAACUUUACAAUGCGGGCAACCGUGAUAAGGGAACCUCGAGUGCCUGUAUAUGCAGGCUGUCUGGGUGUCUAAAACACACCUAAAGAAAGGGCCGGGCAAGACCGGUGCCAGCCGCCGCGGUAAUACCGGCGGCUCGAGUGGUGGCCACUUUUAUUGGGCUUAAAGCGUUCGUAGCUGGGUUAUUAAGUCCCUUGGGAAAUCCGACGGCUUAACCGUCGGGCGUCUAAGGGAUACUGGCAAUCUUGGAACCGGGAGAGGUGAGGGGUACUUCGGGGGUAGGAGUGAAAUCCUGUAAUCCUCGAGGGACCACCUGUGGCGAAGGCGCCUCACCAGAACGGCUUCGACAGUGAGGGACAAAAGCUGGGGGAGCAAACCGGAUUAGAUACCCGGGUAGUCCCAGCCGUAAACGAUGUGCGUUAGGUGUAUCGGUGACCACGAGUCACCGAGGUGCCGAAGGGAAACCGUGAAACGUACCGCCUGGGAAGUACGGUCGCAAGGCUGAAACUUAAAGGAAUAGGCGGGGGAGCACCACAACAGGUGGAGCCUGCGGUUUAAUUGGACUCAACGCCGGAAAUCUCACCGGAUAAGACAGCUGAAUGAUUGUCGGGCUGAAGACUCUACAUGACUAGCU